GACGAACGCUGGCGGCGUGCUUAACACAUGCAAGUCGAACGGAAAGGCCCUGCUUUUGUGGGGUGCUCGAGUGGCGAACGGGUGAGUAACACGUGAGUAACCUGCCCUUGACUUUGGGAUAACUUCAGGAAACUGGGGCUAAUACCGGAUAGGAGCUCCUGCUGCAUGGUGGGGGUUGGAAAGUUUCGGCGGUUGGGGAUGGACUCGCGGCUUAUCAGCUUGUUGGUGGGGUAGUGGCUUACCAAGGCUUUGAAGGGUAGCCGGCCUGAGAGGGUGAACGGGGACCAUGCGACUGCGGUACGGAGCAGAGGGCAAUGGGAGGCAGCAGUCGAGAAUAUUGCACAAUGGGCGGAAGCCUGAUGCAGAAACGCUGGGUUCGGGAAGACGGUUUACGGGGUGUAAACCGCUUUAGCUUGUGACGAAGCGUGAGUGACGGUAACGGGUAAAGAAGCACCGGCUAACUACGUG
This 468-nucleotide ribosomal RNA is filed under the name uncultured bacterium. RNAcentral describes it as "partial 16S ribosomal RNA". It matches the Rfam family "Bacterial small subunit ribosomal RNA", at positions 28 to 507 of the family's 1533-position model. The record is from RNAcentral.